This is a non-coding RNA of Phascolarctos cinereus (koala), 499 nucleotides long. The record is from RefSeq and is a predicted model, not a curated record. Lineage: Eukaryota; Metazoa; Chordata; Mammalia; Diprotodontia; Phascolarctidae.
AGAAAGCCAGUUGUUAAAUAUUUAUCAGCACACUCCUCAACACUGCUUACUUUCAGAGCAAGAAGGCAAUUGGGGUUAAGUGACGUGCCCAAGGUCACACAGCUGGAAUCUGACUCAACCAGGCAGGAACUCUUAAAUUAUGGAUUAUCGAUGAGGAAACCCCGCAAAUAACCUCCAACUUGUGCUCAAAAAAAGGGAAUCAAAAAAACAGAAGUAAGUAUCUAGAAAUCAAGAUGUCUAGGAACUCCCAAUUUCGGAGUUAUCUCAGCAAGUGUAGGAUAGGCCAUGCUUACCAUGUGAUCCUGCUGUAAGUCAUGUAUCGGAGGUAGGGUGGGGGAAUGAGGGAAGAGAAAUCCUCUUCCUCCUCCUUUGCUGCACUCCAUUCUGGAAAUCCAAGGAAGUUAGAGUCAUUGAAAAGAGUCCUAAGGAGGUUCUGUUUCUGGGAACCAAGAUGGCAGAGUAAAAAGGUAGUCACUCUCACUCUCCCCUAUCAACCUCU